Molecule: ribosomal RNA, 1461 nt
Filed under: metagenome
Description: bacterial SSU rRNA
Rfam family: Archaeal small subunit ribosomal RNA
Source: RNAcentral
UCCAGUUGAUCCUGCUGGAGGGUACUGCUUUCGGAAUUCGAUUAAGCCAUGCAAGUUAGCCCAGUCACUUGACUGGACAGCAUACGGCUCAGUAACACGUAGUUAACCUGCCCUAUAGACGGAGAUAACCUUGGGAAACUGAGGGGAAUACCCGAUAGAUGACAGAUACUGGAAUGUUCUAUCAUCCAAAAAGUUGCAAAUUGGAGCAUUACUGCUAUAGGAUGGGACUGCGGCAGAUUAGGCUGUUGGUGAGGUAACGGCUCACCAAAACCGAUAAUCUGUAGGGGCAUUGGGAGAUGGAGCCCCGAGAAGGGCACUGAGAUAAGGGCCCUAGUCCUACGGGAUGCAGCAGGCGCGAAACCUUUACAAUGCGCGAAAGCGUGAUAAGGGGAUUCCGAGUGGUCGUUGGCUAACGCUGAUGGCCUUUUUGCUAAGCUUAGACAGCUUGGAGAAUAAGUGCUGGGUAAGACCGGUGCCAGCCGCCGCGGUAACACCGGCAGCGCAAGUGGUACCCACGAAUAUUGGGUCUAAAGCGUUCGUAGCCUGUUUAUUAAGUUCGCUGUGAAAUCCAGGGGCCUAACCUCUGGGCGUGCAGUGAAGACUGGUAGACUUGAGAACGGGGGAGGUAGAGAGUACUAAUGAGGUAAGAGUUAAAUCUGAUAAUCUCAUUGGGACUCACAGUGGCGAAGGCGCUCUACCAAAACGUAUCUGACGGUGAGGAACGAAGGCUAGGAGAACGAACGGGAUUAGAUACCCCGGUAGCCCUAGCAGUAAAUGAUGCAAACUUGGUGUUACAUUACCUACGAGGUAAUGUAGUGCCGUAGCGAAGGUGUUAAGUUUGCCACCUGGGGAGUACGAUCGCAAGAUUUAAACUUAAAGGAAUUGGCGGGGGAGCGCCACCAGGGGUGGAAGCUGCGGUUUAAUUGGAUACAACGCCUGGAAUAUUACCGGGAAAGACAGCAGAAUGAAGGUCAGGCUGAAGACCUUACCAGACAAGCUGAGAGGUGAUGCAUGGCCAUCGUCAGUUCGUGGCGUGAGCUGUCAGGUUAAGUCCUGUAACGAACGAGACCCUCAUGUGCAUUUGCUAAUUCUCCGUCCGCGGGGGAUGCACCAUGCACAGACUGCCCGUGUAAAACGGGAGGAAGGAGAGGGCUACGGUAGGUCAGUAUGUCCUGAAUUUCCCGGGCUACACGCGGCUUACAAUGGUUGGAACAAUGGGCUGCGACUCCGAAAGGAGAAGCUAAUCUCACAAAACCAAUCUUAGUCCGGAUCGAGGGUUGAAACUCACCCUCGUGAAGUUGGAAUCCCUAGUAAUCGCGUGUUAGGAACGCGCGGUGAAUACGUCAACGCUCCUUGCACACACCGCCCGUCAAAUCACCCAAGCGAGGUUUUGGUGAGGCCCCAGAAAUUAGCUGGUGUCGAGUCUGGACUUUGUGAGGGGGGUUAAGUCGUAACAAGGUA